This 253-nucleotide ribosomal RNA is filed under the name uncultured bacterium. RNAcentral's name for it is "partial 16S ribosomal RNA". It matches the Rfam family "Bacterial small subunit ribosomal RNA", at positions 524 to 776 of the family's 1533-position model. The record is from RNAcentral.
UACGUAGGGUGCAAGCGUUGUCCGGAAUUAUUGGGCGUAAAGAGCUCGUAGGCGGUCUGUCGCGUCGGCUGUGAAAACUCGGGGCUCAACCCCGAGCCUGCAGUCGAUACGGGCAGACUAGAGUGCUGUAGGGGAGACUGGAAUUCCUGGUGUAGCGGUGAAAUGCGCAGAUAUCAGGAGGAACACCGAUGGCGAAGGCAGGUCUCUGGGCCACUACUGACGCUGAGAAGCGAAAGCAUGGGGAGCAAACAGG